This 158-nucleotide ribosomal RNA is filed under the name Hyphoderma macaronesicum. RNAcentral's name for it is "5.8S ribosomal RNA". It matches the Rfam family "5.8S ribosomal RNA". Rfam says of the family: 5.8S ribosomal RNA (5.8S rRNA) is a component of the large subunit of the eukaryotic ribosome. It is transcribed by RNA polymerase I as part of the 45S precursor that also contains 18S and 28S rRNA. Functionally, it is thought that 5.8S rRNA may be involved in ribosome translocation. The record is from RNAcentral. Lineage: Eukaryota; Fungi; Basidiomycota; Agaricomycetes; Polyporales; Hyphodermataceae.
ACUUUCAGCAACGGAUCUCUUGGCUCUCGCAUCGAUGAAGAACGCAGCGAAAUGCGAUAAGUAAUGUGAAUUGCAGAAUUCAGUGAAUCAUCGAAUCUUUGAACGCACCUUGCGCUCCUUGGUAUUCCGAGGAGCAUGCCUGUUUGAGUGUCAUGUAA